UUUCCGUAGGUGAACCUGCGGAAGGAUCAUUAUCGUACAAUAUGUAAGGGGCUUGCGAGGGCUGUCGCUGACCCAAACGACGCGCACGCCCGACUGUGUCCUCUUGCAUCAUAAUCCAUCUCACCCUUUGUGCAUCACCGCGUGCUUACCCUUCGGGAUCAUCACGGAAGGCGGCUCGCGCUUUCACCCAACCCCCCCUUAUAAAAGUUAAGAAUGACCAAAUUUUUGCAAACAAUAAAAUUUUCAACAACGGAUCUCAUGGAUGCCGCAGCGAUGAAG
This 279-nucleotide unclassified non-coding RNA is filed under the name plant metagenome. Its description in RNAcentral is "partial contains small subunit ribosomal RNA, internal transcribed spacer 1, and 5.8S ribosomal RNA". The record is from RNAcentral.